UACGUAGGGGGCGAGCGUUGUCCGGAAUUAUUGGGCGUAAAGAGCUCGUAGGCGGCUUGGCAAGUCGGAUGUGAAAACUCCAGGCUCAACCUGGAGCCGCCAUUCGAUACUGCUAUGGCUAGAGUCCGGUAGGGGAGUGUGGAAUUCCCGGUGUAGCGGUGAAAUGCGCAGAUAUCGGGAGGAACACCGAUGGCGAAGGCAGCACUCUGGGCCGGCACUGACGCUGAGGCGCGAAAGCUAGGGGAGCAAACAGG
RNAcentral lists this ribosomal RNA (254 nucleotides) under uncultured bacterium. RNAcentral's name for it is "partial 16S ribosomal RNA". It matches the Rfam family "Bacterial small subunit ribosomal RNA", at positions 524 to 776 of the family's 1533-position model. The record is from RNAcentral.